CCUAUCACAUUGAAACACCGGUUCUCAUAUGAUCACUAAAGUUAAGCAACAUCGAGCUUGGUCAGUACCUAGAUGGGUGACCACUUUGGAAUACCUGUUGCUGUAAG
Molecule: non-coding RNA, 107 nt
Organism: Acanthosepion pharaonis
Lineage: Eukaryota; Metazoa; Mollusca; Cephalopoda; Sepiida; Sepiidae
Source: the annotation of a GenBank genome assembly